RNAcentral lists this long non-coding RNA (224 nucleotides) under Musa acuminata (dwarf banana). RNAcentral describes it as "long non-coding RNA (MACU_LNC007956)". The record is from RNAcentral. Lineage: Eukaryota; Viridiplantae; Streptophyta; Magnoliopsida; Zingiberales; Musaceae.
UAUGAGUUAAGGGUUAGGUUGCUUCUAGCUUCUCCGUAAUAGCAACAAGUAAUAAGUUGCCCUAGAAGAUCGAGCAGAAAGAGAUCAUAAGUUCGGUUUUUCGUGUUGUGAGUAAGCUGGUAAUUAAGUAAGCAAUGCAGUGAGGUUAGAGAGCCAAACAACUAACGCAUUAUCAGUACAAAGCGAAUUUAUUUGCGCUAACUUUAGGGGUGCCGAUAUGACUU